This 19656-nucleotide long non-coding RNA is filed under the name Lynx pardinus (Iberian lynx). Lineage: Eukaryota; Metazoa; Chordata; Mammalia; Carnivora; Felidae. The record is from RNAcentral.
GAUAUACAUGGCUGCUGCAAAUGUGGUACCAAGAUAAAAGCAGAGGCCAACAGCCCCACCAAACUCUGGGCCCAGGGCCCGGGAAAUCAUAAAGUAUGAGCCUCCAGCUAAAAGACAAAAUAGAAUGUAAGCAGGAUAAAGAAAGUACACCGGUAAGAAGAAUGUAAACAAAGUCAUAAAUAAGAAGAAUAAAUGCUUCAAGCUUUUGAAAACUCUCAAUGUUUUGAUAAAAAAUAUAUUUGCUAACGGGAAAUAAAGGAUAAAACCUUUCUAAUAUACUGCAUAGCUAAUGCUCCACACCAACUAGUUCAACUUGUCAGUAUUACUUAGAUAAAUAUCAAGGAAUAUUUACUACAGGCAUGAGAUAGCCCCAUAAUAUAUAUCCUAACUAAAAGAAGAUAGGAAUGUGAUACAAAUUAAGACUUCUAGCUUAGAACAUGAUGAGAUUUUUUUCCUUUUUAUUUUAAUUGAAGUAUGGUUGACUUUAAUAAAUGGUAUAGUACAACAUCAUAGUGGUUUGACAAUUCUGUACAUUAAGCACACCAUAGUAAGUGCAGUUACCAUCUGUCACCAUACAAUGUUACUGCAAUAUUAUUGAGUGUAUUCCCUAUGCUGUAUUUUUCAUCCCCAUGACUUAUUUAUUUUAUAACCGGAAGUUUGUAACUCUUAUUCCCUCCCUCUCACUUAUUUUGCUCAUCCCUCUACUCUUCUUUUCCUGGACAACCACUAGUUUGUUCUUUGUAUUUAUGAGUCUCUGUUUUUGUUUGUCUGUUUAUUUAUUUAUUUGGAUUCCACAUAUAAGUAAAAUCAUAUGGCAUCUGUCUUUCUUGGACUUAUUUCAUUUGCAUGAGUGGAUCUCUAGGUUCACCUGUGUUGUUGCAAAUGGCAAGAUUUCAUUCUUUUUGAUGGAUGAGUAAUAUUCUAUUUUGUGUGUAUGUGUCCACAACUUCUGUAUUCAUUCAUCUAUUGAUGAACACUUAGGUUGCUUCCAUAUCUUGGUUAUUGUAAAUAAUACAGCACUAUACAUAAGGGCACCUAUAUCUUUUUGAUCUAGUGUUUUCAUUUUCUUUGGGUAAAUACCCAGAAACGAAAUUACUGGAUUAUAUGGUAUUUCUACUUCCAAUUUUUUGAAGAACUUCCAUACUGUUUUCCAAAGUGGCUGGAUCAGAUUCUAUUCCCACCAACAGUGAGUGAGGUUCCCCUAGUUUAGGACAUAAAGAGACUUAAAGAGUGUAUUCUAAAGUCAAAGAGUGUGAAUGCCUAUGACCAACAGACUAAAUAGUACUCUGUUCCUUGGAAGUUUGCACCUCUGGCUUCACAGCAUAAACAUACAGUAAUUGUUGACAAUCCCUGAAAUGCAAUCUUAGCCAACUGACCUGGCACCACUCCAUUAGUGGCAAUGGCACUCAUGGAGAUAGCAGUCAACAUUGUCUGUAAAGGAAGUGAAAGGAGAAGACUGUUACUGUUAUAAAGAUGACAUUUCUGUACUAUCUUCCCAUCUGUGGAAUUCAGAGCACUGUUUGAAUAAUUAACUCUACAUACUUUAUGGACGGAGUUGGAUGUUAUACCUAAUAGCAUGGAAAUAUGAUGUGGUUCAACUCAUUGCACUAGUCAAAUUACUAUCAUCUUGAGUAUUCUGUUAAAAUGGUUCUAUGUCGGGGCGCCUGGGUGGCGCAGUCGGUUAAGCGUCCGACUUCAGCCAGGUCAUGAUCUCGCGGUCCGUGAGUUCGAGCCCCGCGUCAGGCUCUGGGCUGAUGGCUCAGAGCCUGGAGCCUGUUUCCGAUUCUGUGUCUCCCUCUCUCUCUGCCCCUCCCCCGUUCAUGCUCUGUCUCUCUCUGUCCCAAAAAUAAAUAAACGUUGAAAAAAAAAAAUUAAAAAAAAAAAAUGGUUCUAUGUCAUAAUCAGUAGGUUAGGGGCUAGUAGAAACCCCUGAUCUCACCCUGGUCUCCUAGUUAACUUGGAAAACAGACUGGAAACUGACUAAGGACUAGAUAUUACAAGAACAAUAUUCAGUAAGGAAGGGAACCACUGAAGACUUCUGAACUAAUAAAAACUAUAUUUUGAAAACAUUGCCUGGGAGCAACAGAGUAUAGAAUGGACUGCAGACAGGGAGCAGAUGAAGACAGAGUGACUUGUUAAUAGGCUAUUACAGUUCAGUGAAAAAACAGGAAUAUAAAGGAAGGGUUGUAGGUAAGAGAUUUCAGAGGGAGACUUGAUUGACACUGGUAGCUGAUUAGAUGUGAGAGGUAACCAAGGAGCCAAACAUGACCUUGAAGUUUUAAGACUAAGAAAACAAAAAGGGGGGGGGGGGGGGGAAGGUAGUACUGUUAAUUUUAAUUUAUUAAUGAUAGGAACUAUCUCUGCUUAUCCUGCUUUGUAUGUACUCAGUGAGCCUAAUGCACAAGGAGGGUAUAAUAAUGAUAGUAAUGAAAGAGGUCAGCAGGUAACAGAACAAAAAAAUACAUUUUUUAUAAUAAUCAACUUAUAAUGCAUAAGAGGAGUUUAAAUUCAAGGAAGAUCAGAAUGUUCUCAGUACAGUGGGGAGAGGACCUGGAAAACACACCUGAAUUUCUAGGGAAGGGAGAACAGAUGAGACUUGAAAACAAAACAAACGCCCCUCACCCUAAACAACAAUCCAUUUUGUUUCUCCAUACUAUACUGGAGUAGUGCGGCAUCAUUUUCUAUCACAACUUUGGUGCCAUCAAUACAAGUGGUUUGUAUUCUGAAUUCUUUGAAGUCAAGGACUACAUCUCCUACUCCCUCCAGAAAGAAGUCUUCCUUUGUAAUUUCUAGUACAUCAUAUUAUAGAUCUAAGCAGUGAAGAGUGGGCCCUAAAUAACUGAAAAUCCUUCAGAUUUUAAUAUCAAAAUAAUCUCUCCUUUUGAGAUCAUGAGUCUUCCCCUAUUAGCCUUUGUUUUAUUCUCAAACAGGUCAAGUGCAUAUAAUCUUGAGCUCUUGCAACGUUCCAGGUGAUUUCUAAGAGCCAACUCAGGACUUACACAGCAGCAGCAGAUAAGGACGAUUGCGAAGGCCUGAAGAACGCCUGCCGUGCCCACAACCCAUGUAAGGCGUAGAAACAAGAUCACUCCAAAAAUAUUUUGUAGACAGGGGAGGUAGACACCCAUGAAAGUACCCAUUUGAGGGGUCUGGAAAGAAAGUUGACAAAAGAAAAAUUAUAUAGUCAUCUAGAAGCCAUGCUUUUAUCCCUUUACUUGUGUAUAAAAACUUGCUCCCAACUACCAUAUUAAUUAUUAGGCAGAGAUAAUCAGAAUAUCCUAGAAGAGGCACAUAUAAAAUCUCCAUCUAAUAAAUGUCAAUCACCAUACUUUUUAAUAGUCCUAGAACUAUACAUUUUUACUUUACACAGGUCCUCAUAUGUUUUUACAUAAGUAUUUGACCACAAUCCCCCCCUUUUAAAAUGUUCUGUAGUUUGAAGCUAUCAGCUUUCCCUUUUCAUCUAAACUGAAUAAUGAAUUGAUGCAAUUCCUUUCGAAUGUGGUAUAAAUCUUUCAUAGUAGCUGGUAAAUACAGUUGGUAAAAUGAAGAUCUGAGGGUCAUUUAAUUCCUGAACAACCAGGAAGCUACCUUGUUCCGUAUUUUCAUUUUGAGAAAAACUGAAAUGUAGUCUUUGAAAAACCCAACCACUUCACCACAGAGAUGGCAUCAGCAGGUGGGCGUGGACACUCCUCUUCUGAAGUGCUAUUUCCUCUCCCUGCAACGGUCUUCUCCCAACCAGGCUCACUGUCUCACAUUGAUUAGGUCUCUGCUCAAAUAUCACCGUCAGAAGGGCUUUCCCUGACUAACCUCUCUCCAACAGCAACCCCUUCUGCCCUGGCUUUCUUGCUGGCCAGUUGCAGUCUCCUUAGCCUGCCUUAAAAAAAAUUAAUUACUGAAGUAUAGUUGACACACAAUGUUACACUGGUUCAGGCGUACAACAUAGUGAUCUGACAAGUCUCUGCCUAUGAUAUGCCACAAGUGUAGCUACUAGCUGUCCCUGCUUAUAUUUUUGUUAGAGCAUUUAUCAACAUCUAAUAUACAGUUUAACAACUAUCUCUUCAUACCAGAAUUCAGACUGCAUGAGAGCAGGACGUUGUAGGUUCUCUUUUUGCUAUGACCCUGGUGCCCAGAACAGUGCCUGGCUUAAAGCAAGCAUUCAAUAGUUACGGAGCACAGAGUGAUGCCCUGGAUAGUUUCUCCUUUCUUAUAUAUGGGACUCUUUUUAUUUAUCAUUGUUAUCCUAAGGCCUCACCUUGGUGGGCUUCUUUUUCCCCUCAGUGAUGUUCUCUGCCUCUUCAUGUUCCUUCGCUCCUUGUGUCAGAUUAGUAUAAUUGGCCAUACGGUUGAGGAGAGAAGAUACCUUUGGUCUUGUGUCCAUUUCUUCCUAUAAAGUCGUAAACGUGGAAGAAAUGAGUAAUGAAGAACACUGGAAGCAUAAGCAUCAAAAUGGCCCAUGUAUCAGAAAAUUGCAAAUUAAAUAAGAAAAUAUUUCACAGAUAAAUAUUUUAAGACAAUUCAUCAGUGAGGCUUUCUUUUCCUCCCAAGGUAAAAUAUCACUUAAUCAGGGCUACAUGAAUCCUUAUAAGAUUCUUAAGUGAAAAGCUUUAGGAUUCUUUCUAAUAGCUUAACUUUACAGUAAAAACAAAAUCACACUGGCCCCUACAGACAGCUGUAACCUUGUAAAAAAUGUUGGUAAUAUUAUCUUUAACUACAGUGCCCCUUUCUUUAGGCUACCAACAUUCUAACAAAAUUUAGGGCUAUUAUUUAUUGCAGCACAUACGGAUAGCUCAUUAAAAAACUUUUGUGACUGAGGGGCACCUGGGUGGCUCAGUGAGUUAAGGGUCCGACUCUUGAUUUCAGCUCAGGUCAUAAUCUCGUGGUUUGUGAGAUGGAGCCCUACAUCGAACCUGCUUGAGAUUCUCUCUCCCUCUCUCUCUGCCCCUCCCUGUCUCGUGCACACAGCUGUGUUCUCUCUCAAAAAUAAACAAACAUUAAAAGAAAAAAACCUUUUGUGACUGAAGUAAAUAUUCACCACAGAUCUUUUCUUCAAGUAAGCUGAAAGAAAAUAUCAUUUAAAAGAUAAGUACGCUGAGAGAACUAACAUUCACAUCACUGUCCAAAGCCAGAAACAAAGGCAGUGCGGGACUAAAGUAGGUUCCUUUCAAGAACCUGCCUGCAGAUGCCGUCAGAGUCCGUAGGGUCUCAGGUUAAGACCUACAAGGUCCUCUUAUUCUAGCAGCCUACUUCCUACACUGAUUUUUGAUUUAGUAGUUCUAAGGUAAGUGAUAGUCCUCCCAAACACAGAUUGAAAAACUCACUAUUUUACACUUUGUAGAUAAUGCAAAUAUUCACAUCCUAGCUGAAUUAGAUAGCAAGGUCCCCCAUAUUGAGGAAGAAUGUCAACAUUCUUCCUCAAUACUCAGAAAUUUGAUUUAAUGGUACUUAUUAGUGAUCAUUAGAUUACAUAAAUAAAUCAACUAUAAUGACAAGUUAUCAUAAGUAUUAUACUUUAACAAUUAAUUCUUAAAAGUAUCCAGGCUGUACUGUUUUAAAACUAAAUGGGAUAGAAAACAGCGAUCUUGAAAUCUCUAUUCCUGAAAUCUCUGCCCUAGUCUUCUCCCAAAUAUUACCUCAAAGAGUGCCAGGUUUUUAUCAAAAUAUUCAUCUCCUUCUUCAUAAUUGGAAUUAUUGAGAUAAGCAUUUCGAGCUUUCUUAUUAUGCCCAUCAUCUGGAAAAAAAAAAAAAAGUAAACCAAGUCAGUUUCUCAGUGGUAUUAAAGAAGUAUCAGCACCAAAUAACUUCAUGUUGCCUCUGUAUUAACAGAACCCAUUUUCAUAUUCAAACUACUUUAUUUUUUUAUUUUGAGAGACAGCGUAAGUAGAGCAGGGAAGGAGCAGGGGUGAGGGUGGGGGUGGGACAAAGGAUAUGAAGAGGGCUCUGUGCUGACAGCGGAGAGCCCAGUGCAGGGCUUAAACUCACAAACUGUGAGAUCAUGACCUAAGCCAAAGUGAGAUGCUCAACUGACUGAGCCACCCAAGCACCCCUCAUAUUCAAACUUUAAUCUGAGAGUGGGAGAACUCAAUUAGCGUUGCUUGGAGCAUGUGGCUCCCUCUAGAAAAGGAGCAAAAAUAAAUUUCUAAGAGGUAAACAUAGGUCAUUGCUUUUCUUAAUACAAAGGCCUCUGGACACACUAUUCUUUUAGGAUUCUAACCUACAGAGACCCUACACUUAAAGUCACCCAAAUCUAGAAUAAAAUUUUUUUAAAAAGUACUUAUUGAGUCCUUAGUAUAUAAUACCUUUAUACACUAUUGCUGUUGAACAAUGGCAGCAAAAGCCCUCUACUUACAGAUGUCCAACCUUUUAUAAAUGAUAUUAGGUAAAAAAACAAAAAAACAAAACAAAAAAAUGACAUUAGGUCUUGUAACCAAGAAUUAUUUUUGUACAAACUCCUGCCACAUAUUUUUUUUUCAUCCCACAAGCAUUUGGUGAACCAGCUAUAAGAAAAAAAAAAGAGAGAGAUAAAGAGACUGGGUUCCCUAACACAGGAAAGUUUGUGUUGUAUCCUUAGCUUUGGUUCUGUAUUGUGUAAGAGUUAUAUAAUUAUAAUCACCUUGUAGGAGAGAGAGAAAAUAAAAAAAUAUAUGUCAUUAAGAACUAAGACUUUAAAUAUUGAUAAAAUAGACACUAAUAUAAAAUUUAAAGAAAUUAAUUUAAAGUCCUAUAACCUUAAAUGUAAGUUUGGGAAACAGUCAACAAGCUAUGAAAAUAACUGGAUCAUGUCAAAGGACAGAAAAGCCAACGUGAUGGGAUCCCUAAUGGCUACAAAUGGGAUAAUAUGAGCACUAAAAAUAAAUAAUGCAAUGAAUUGAAAAGUAAGUAUGUGAAAUAUCCAAUAUAUUAAAAAAAAAAAACAACUAGUCACCUUUGCAAGUUACUAAGAAAACAACAUAUGUGAAAAACAAUAAAUGGAAAGAAUCAAGCAAUUAUCUUGCCUUUCCUGUACCAACUAUAUUUCUAGGUGAUGAAAAAGUUAAAGAAAAUUUCUUCAUUAUAGAAACGUUCUAGCUAAUCAAUGUGGAAUUUAAAAAACAAAACAAACAAGCAUAGGGAAAAAAGAGACAGACAAACCAAGAAACAGACUCUUAACUACAGAGAAUUGGUGGUUACCACAGGGGAGUUGGGUAGGGGGAUGGGUGAAAACAGAUGAAGGGGAUUAAGAGUACACUCAUCAUGAGGUGCCUCAGUGGCUCAGUCCAUUAAGGGUCCAACUCUUGAUCUCAGCUCAGGUCAUGAUCUCAUGGUUUGUGAGAUCAAGCCCUGCACUGGGCUCUGCGUUGACGGAGUCUUUCUCUCUCUCUCUCAAAAUAAAUAAACAAACUUAACAAUUAAAAAAAAAAAAGUACACUCAUCAUGAUGAGAAUUGAGUAAUGCACAGAAUUGCUGAAUCACUAUACUGAUUCACCUGAAUCUAAUAUAACACUGUAUGUUAACUGAAAUUUAAAUUAAAAAAAUUUUUAAAUGCAGAUGGAUUAGGAAAAAAAACCACCAAUUUUCAACCCCUAAUGAAAUAAUGGAUCUAGGCAAUCAUCAUCAAUGGUUGCUAAAACCAUUAGAUGAAAGGCUAAGACAUAACUUUAUAAUGGAUGGAUCAGGGUGAUCUGGAACUCAAUGAUCAAUGUUAACAUUGCUUGUUAAAAGUAGACGACACAGGGGCGCCUGGGUGGCGCAGUUGGUUAAGCGUCCGACUUCAGCCAGGUCACUAUCUCACGGUCUGUGAGUUCGAGCCCCGCAUCAGGCUCUGGGCUGAUGGCUCAGAGCCUGGAGCCUGUUUCCGAUUCUGUGUCUCCCUCUCUCUCUGCCCCUCCCCCGUUCAUGCUCUGUCUCUCUCUGUCCCAAAAAUAAAUAAAAACGUUGAAAAAAAAAAUUUUAAAAGUAGACGACACAAACCCCUACUGUAAUACAAUAAAAAGUACCCUGUGCAACCUAUGAUGUAUUCUUACCAAAAAAAUGGAAGUUGAAUCUAAUCAAGCUUCUUAAAUCUAUCAGUUCACAAAAACAAAACAAACAAAACAAACAAAACAAAGCAGAGGAGGAACACGCUAAACAUCAAAGAUGAGGCAAUCACCAAAUUCAGAAUGUGAGAAAUUCUACAUGACAAAUAAUCUGACUUAUUCAAUAAAUAAAUGGCAUAAACUAAGAAAGCAGAAUUCAUAAUUUGAGACUUAAAAUGACAUACCAACCAAGUACAAGGUGUGAAACUUGUUAGAAUCCUGACUCUAAUCAAAUGUAGAAAACAAAAACAAAAACAACAAAAAACCCCCCAAAACCCCACCUUUGAAACAGAUAAAUUUAAACUUUUUUUUUUAAAGUACAUAAAAUCAUGUGAUGUCUGGAAUUUUAAGAUAUUCCAGGAAAAAAUUCAGUGGGGAUUGAAAACAGAUUCUCAACAUUGUUGAAACUGAGUGAUGGCUUCAUGGAGGUUCACUAUCCUAUUCUAUUUACUUUUCUGUAUCGUUGGAAAUUUCCACAAUAAAAAGUUACUAAAAAAACAACAACAAAACAAAACAGGAAAAUGAUAGCAUGGAGCCUGCUUCGGAUUCUCUGUCUCCCUCUCUCUCCAUUCCUUCUCUGUUAUGCACGCGGUUUUUUUCUCUCAAAAUAAACAUGAAGGAAAAAAAAAAAAAGAAAAUGUAAUUCUUUUCCUCUAAUGGUUCCGGAAAAUUCUAAACAGAGAAUGACACAGCUUAAAAUUAUCACCGCUUUUAAGUAAUCCAUUUAUUCAGUUAAUUCAGUAAGCAUUUAUUAGGUUUUUAAAAAAAUAUUUAUUUUGGGAGAGAGAUAGUGUGCAUGAGUGGGGAAGGGGCAGACAGAGAGGAAGAGAAUCCCAAGCAGGUUUUGCGCUGAGGGCAUAGCCCGAUGUGGGGUUCGAACUCAUGAAGCCUGAGAUCAUGACCUGAGCCGAAAUCAAGAGUUGGACGUUCAACCGACUUGUACCACCCAGGCACCCCACAUUUAUUAAGUUCUUAUGAUGUGCUUGGGCACUGUUCUAGGUCCUGGUGAUACAGCAAUAGACAGAGCAGUUAAAGAUGUUGCUUUCAUUGUGUGUAUAUGAAGUCACAGAAGACAGUUAAAAACAUAUACACACAUACAUAAAACUGAUUUAUAGUGGUUGUCCAUUUCCACAGUGUAAAUACUCACACACGCCAACUGUAAACUACUAAUGUGUUGGGGCGUCUGGGUGGCUCAGUUGGUUGAGCAUCUGAAUCUUGAUUUCAGCUCAGGUCAUGAUCUCGCUGUUGUGAGAAAGCUCCAUGCUGGCAGUGGAGCCAGCUUAAAAUUCUCUCUCCCUCUCAAAAAAAAAAAAAAAAAAGGGGCGCCUGGGUGGCGCAGUCGGUUAAGCGUCCGACUUCAGCCAGGUCACGAUCUUGCGGUCUGUGAGUUCGAGCCCCGCGUCAGGCUCUGGGCUGAUGGCUCAGAGCCUGGAGCCUGUUUCCGAUUCUGUGUCUCCCUCUCUCUCUGCCCCUCCCCCGUUCAUGCUCUGUCUCUCUCUGUCCCAAAAAUAAAUAAACGUUGAAAAAAAAAAAAAAUUAAAAAAAAAAAAAUCUCCCUCUUUCUCUCCCUCUGCCCCUCUCUCCUGCCCGCAUGCUCUCUCAAAUAAAAAUAAAAUAAAAUAAAAUAAACUACUAAUGCGAAGUCACUGAGAAUGGUUUUGGGAAGAGAUGCAUACAAUUGGUUCUCAGGAGUUGGUAUGAGCUGGCUGUAGCACACCCUUGACAUAGAAUGUUCAGGAAAAGCCUGCAUUUCAAGCAGAGGGAACAGUAAUUUUAAAAAAUCCUAAAGCAGAAACAACCUUAAUGCAGUCAUAAAACAGAAUGAGUAACAUGGCUGAAACAGAGAGAGGAAAGGAGAGAGCGACUGGAAAGAUAGGAUUUUAAAAUUUCUAUUUGGUCUUUUUUUAUGAUUCAUUCUCAUUUUCUCUCUCUGGGAUUUCUCUCUCUUUUAAUGUUCAUUUAUUUAUUUUUUAGAGAGAGAGCAAGAGCGAGUGCCUGAACAAGCUGGGGAGGGGCAGAGGGAGAGACAGAAACAGAAUGCGAAGCGGGCUCCAGGCUGUGAACUGUCAGCGCAGAGCCCUACUCAGGGCUCGAACUCAUGAACUGUGAGAUCAUGACCUGAGCCAAAAUCAGAUGCUUAACAGACAGAGCCACCCAGAUGCCCCUCUCCCUGGAUUUUUUUUGGUUUGUUUUUCCCUUAUUCCAUUUGUUCUCUUUCCUCUUUUGGAGUUUCCACAUUCUAUUUUUUUCAGUAAUUACUUUUGAAAUUUUACCACAUAUGUUACUUAAACUGUUAAGUGAGUUUAAUCAAUAAUCUGUCAUCCUCACAAACAACACACUUGAACACUUCAGUUUCAACUGUCCUCUGAUUCACAUAAUAUUACUGUUCUGUCCAAUAUUUCUAGUAGUUAAUUUUACUACACAAUAAGACACUAAAAAUAUUUCAGAGACAAAACACUGACUUGGGUCAAGGUCAAGGUCACUGUUUUUCUGGGAUCAUUUCCCUUUUACUUGAGGUCCCUUCUUUACAAUUCCUUUAGAGUUUCUCAAACUCAGCACCAUGAAAUUUCAAGGCCACAUAAGUAUUUGUUGUAGUACAUCAUACAGUUACAUCAUAGGACGUUUAAGAGCAUCCCUAGCUGCUAGUCACUAGAGGCCAGUAGCAUCUCCCGCAGUGACAACCAUGAAAGUCUUCAAAUAUUUCCAAAUGUCCCCUGGGGGACAAAAUUGUCCUCAGUUGUAAACCACUAGCUUGGAGCAAGUCUUGCGGUGAGAAACGUUCUUGGCUUUUAUUUAGCAACAGUUGCCUGUAUUUUGUCCUAAUUAUUACUGAGUAUCUUGCCAAGCACAAUUCUAGGAUAAUAAAAGCUUUGCAAACACUUUAAGACAUCAUUUGCUAUAUAUUUCGCUAUGGAGAAUUCUGUCAUUCUGCUGUUCCGGGGAGGAUCUGUACCUCUGGUGGAUCUCAAGAUCUUUUCUUAGGUGUUCUGCAGCAUCAUUAAAGAUGUGUCUAGGUGUAAUUUUCCUUUUGUUCUGUUCACAAACCCCUUUUACCUGUUUAUGACCCGUUAAUUUUAUUUUUUGUAUCAAUAACUAUUUUUUUUUUUUUCUACAAGUUCCAUUUGUUCUCCUCUCUAAACAGUCCUUCAUUUCUGGGUAAUAUGCUCAUCUAACUGCACCUUUUACUGAUGAAAACAUUUGAUAGUUUUGUAUCCCAGACUCAGAACCACUUUAUCCCUCUUAAGGGUUAUGUGACUAGGAAUCCCAGAUCCAACAUCCUACUUUCCUGCUGGUUCAAGAGUCUUACAAUACUGUUGCUAUAAAAAUCUGGCUUUAGAACAAUCCUGCCCCAUCCUGCUGCCUACUGGUCCAAGCCACAUCCUAAAAGCUCUGGCUCCCCUUGCUGCAGCCAUGGCACCUCUUUCAGGGCCUCUGUAUUCUCAAGUUUCAGGUGCAACCACCUUAACUUUUAGACACUCUGGUCGUGGAUGUUUCUGGUCCAACUUCCAUUUGCUUGUUUAUUUCGAGAUGGAAGAAAUAUCCCUGGAGACACUGCCUACAUUUACAAGACCAAUGAUGCCUCCAAGAUCAUAUCUUAUUAGGGUCUACCUGUGGUGGUGGUAGGAGUGGGAGGGUCCCGUAGAGAUCCUGGUCAAUCAUGAAAGAUCAAGGCCUUCCAGGCAAGGAACAAAGUUCUCAUCAGGAGUGGUUAACUGAAAGGCAUGGAUCAAUUCUCAAUCUCAGUUUCUUGGUGGGAAAUCAUGCUGUUUCAAAAGUACAGCCUUCAGAAGUCUGGGUCAUUACUGUAACCUCAGGAAAUCCCAAAUGGAAUGGAAAUUCUAGAGUUUCUGAAUAACAAGUAAGUUUUACUCUGCAGGAACUAAGAACCAAAUGCAUGUCCUAGGGCUGUUUUGUGAUUAUCCAGAAUCCUAAGAGGAUUCCUUUGAAGGAUACCUACUGACACUAUCAAUUAAACAGCCCAACAGAUCACUAUGUUUUGUUUUUCCCCAUUUUACUAUCCAGAUAAUGCUAACAUUAUUGGGAACUUACUGGUGUUUCACUGCACAAGUCAAACAGAAACUGAUAAGUGCCAUUGAUUCUACUACAAAUUUCAAAUUUCCAUUUUUUAUAGCAUACUUUUUUUGGUAAACAUAAAAUGGUAUAUCAAAUGUCUUGCUCUUAAUAAAACCUUUAUUCUUGUGGUGCAAUUACCUCCAUAUUGCUGCUUUUAUAAUUUGCCACUAUACUACAAUUGGGGGCUAAGAUAAAUAAAUCUCACAUUCUUCCCUUAGUCUCCUGAUCUCGUCAAAUGAUGUUUGCUGGUCUGAGCUAGGCAGAACAAGAGCAGUAAAUGUAUUUAAUUUCCUCUGGCACAGGCUUGGGUCUGAACUAUGCACUGUGUGAACAUGAAACGUUGUCUCAAAUGUUACAAAUUAUGUUUUUGAUUUUAUAGUUUGCUUCAAUCAGUAGCCAAAUAAGAGGCAUGCAGUAUGAUUGACUGCUGUAUCUCCUAAGUCAAGCGUCUACUCUCUUUUUCUUCACUAUUUACUUGUUGAAGAAACCAUGUCCGGUGUUCAGUAGGGUUUCUGAUUUUGAUGAUGACAUCCAUAAGAUGUUUAAAUGUUGUUCGGUUUUUGUAGUUCCUAUAAAUUGCUAAUUAGGUCUAGAGGCUUAACCACAUUCAGUAUUUUUAAGGAAGAGGUAGGAAAACUCCUUCACAGUGGUAUUUUGAUCUUCUGUCAGGAGGUUUUCUUUCUGAGAUACUAGCAACUGUUGGUGAUGAAUGCCUAGAUCCAUUAAUUUAUGAGGGCUUACAAAAUGGUGAUAUUCUUUUCUAUUAUUCUUCCUUAACUUACUAGCUGAAAUACUUUUAUAAAGAGAUAUUCCCUCUAAUAUACUGUUUGGUUACCCAUUAAUACAGUUAAAAGCAUGGCAAAUACUUCAUUCUUUCCCUUUAUUAACCAACUUCAUUCACCAGAAUACUCCAAUGGUGACUAAUUAGCUUUUUAAAGUCUCAAUAUGAACUCUUGAAUUUAAAUAUUGGAUAUAUUUCAAAUGAAAUUCUUUUUCUGCGUCAGUUAAGAUGAUUAAUCCUUUAAUCUCCUUUUGUUAAUACACUGAAUUAUAUAAAUUGAUCUUUAAUGGUAAACCAACAAUGUAUUUCUAGCAGAAACCCAAUCUGGUCAGGAGUAACUUAGAAAAAUAUAUUGCUUGAUUUAGAUUGCAAAUAUUUCAUUUAGGACAUCUGUAUCUGUAUUCAUAAGUAAAACUGGCCCAUACUUGUCUCACACUGGCAUUAAGUUUUGGAAUCAAAGUUAUGCAAUCCUCAAACUGAGUUGGGGAGUAUUUACUUGUUUUUCUAUUCCUUGGGAGAAACUGUAGAAGAGGAAUUACUGUUCCUUGGGUGUUUGGUAAAAAUUGUUGUAAAAAUGCCAGGGCCCACUGCUCAUUUGCUUACUUGCUUAUUAAAAUGUUUUAAAUUGAAAAUUACACACACAUAUACACAGCAAAAUUCAUUACAGCUUAAUUAUUUCUCACAACAGCAGUUUCACUCUUCCAUCCAUCUCCUCAGCCUAACCCUAAGUUUUGUAAGAGAUCUGAUGAGUCAGUGCCAACAACAGAUACAUUAAAAUGACUGACAGGAAGAAACUUAAAAGGUCUGAAAGAUACUAUUAUAAAUUCUACUCAGCAGGCAAAGCAAUUGUAGUUUUUAACGUACUAGGCCUAAUUAUCCUAAGCAAGAUUAUUUUUUUUAAGUUUUUAAGUAAUUUCUACAUAUAUGGUGGAGCUCAAACUGACGACCCUGAGAUCAAGAGUUACAUGCUCCACUGAGCCCUCCCGGUGCCCCUAACCAAGAUUUUUAUAGAGAGCUGGCAAGAUUUUAAUUCAAACUACCAAUGCCCUCUCUGAGGAACUAUAAGAUGGUUAGAAAAUAUAACCCAAAAAAAUCACCUUUCCAUCUUCUGCAAACUUCUUUAAAAAAAUUUUUUUAAUGUUUAUUUAUUUUUGAGAGAGAGAGACAGACACACAGAGUGUGAGUAGGGGAGGGUCAGAGAGAGAGGGAGACAUAGAAUCCAAAGCAGGCUCCAGGCUCUGGGCUGUCAGCACAGAGCCCGACGCAGGGCUCGAACCCACACACUGUGAGAUCGUGACCCAAGCCGAAGUCAGCUGCUUAACCGACUGAGCCACUCAGGCACCCCAACUUCUUCUUUUUUUAAAAUAAACCAGGCUUUGAGGGAUUUUGAGGCUGUAGCUUAAACAAAGAUACUCAAAGGGGCACCUGGCUGGCUCAAUCAGUAAAGCAUGUGACUCCUGAUCUGAGUCGUAAGUUCAAGCCUCACAUUAGGUGUAGAGCUUACGGAAAGGAAAGGAAAGGAAAAAGGAAAGGAAAAAGGAAAAAGGAAAAAGGAAAAAGGAAAAAGGAAAGGAAAGGAAAGGAAAAAAAGAAAACAAAGAAACUAACUCAGGAUGGGGCACACAAGAUGUAGUUAUUAAGAGCAUGAGAAGGAAGAACAUAAUCUCAUCUAAUGAACCUCAGAGGGAGAACCCAGGAUAGCAGGAUGAACUCACCUGAGAAUCUAGCCAAAAGACUCUGGACACAUUCCCAGGUUUGUUUAAAAGUGAAUGCAAAUGUAGGUUGCCAAACGAGAGUAAUGUCUGUAGUAGUCUCUUAGCAGAUAUUAGGGUUUUCAGCUAAUAAUACUAAGAGAAGUCUUUUUCACAAUCAUAUACUAUUUCUUUUUGCCCACAAUUUGUUUACUAUCUUUUACUUAGAGUGCUUCAUUGGAAACAAAAUCCAGCUUGCACUGGAAUGAUACCAACUCCCCUGACUGUCCACUUCAUUAGCUAAGUCCUUCCCUACCUCUAUUACAUACAUGUUCCUGGCCAGAAGAUAAACUACCCUCAAACUCCUCUACCUGUCGGCAUGUAUCAGAGACAGAAGAAUUGUUUUAAUAGUUUAGGGGGAAAAUUUACUUUUCAUGGUCUGCUUAAAUAUUUCAAUGAAAUCUUAACCAUUCCUGAUCCAAAUAUGAAAUUUUUGUACAGAGAAGAAUAAUUUUGAACAGUCUAAAUAAACUAUCCAAUAUAAAAGUCUAAAAAAAAAGAGAAUAGUGACAACCCCAAUAUCACAAGGCUAGGACCCUUGUGAUCAGAUUUCUAGCUAUAUGUUUAUGCCAAACCAUUUACCUAAAAAAUAUUUAUGGAGUGCUUAGGGUGUCAGUUACUCUUCCCGCACAUAAACUCUCUCAAACAAAUGAGAAUUAUCACCAGAAACUUAGGUUCUUAACAGAGGAAGAUCAGAAAAGGAGUAUCCCAGUUUCUUCAAUACUCUGAACCUGUAAUGAGCAAACAAGUCAAGUACUUUCCUUACUGUCAACUUUUUGAUAGCUUAUAUUUUACAUAGCUGCUCUGCACUACUCAAAGAGCUAAAAGUUCAGCAAUGUAAAAAUCAAAAUAAGCCUCAAAUCAAACCUCAUGCACUGUUAGUGGGAAUGUAAAUUGGAGCAACCACUGAGUAAAACAGUAUAGAGGUUCCUCAAUAUAUUAAAGAUAGAAUUACCAUAUGAUCAAACAAUUCUAUUACUGGGUAUUUACCCAAGGAAAAUGAAUUUGAAAAGAUAUACUCACCCCUGUGUUUACUGCAACAUUAUUUAUAAAAAUUUUUUAAUGUUUUUAUUUAUUUUUGAGACAGAGAGAGACAGAGCAUGAGCAGGGGAGGGGCAGAGAGAGAGGGAGACACAGAAUCUGAAGUAGGCUCCAGGCUCGGAGCUGUCAGCACAGAGCCCGACGUGGGGCUCGAACUCACGGACUGUGAGAUCAUGAUCUGAGCUGAAGUCGGACGCUUAACUGACUGAGCCACCCAGGUGCCCCCAUUGCAACAUUAUUUAUAACAGCCAAACUACAGAAGCAACCCAAGUUUCUACUGAUAAGUGAAUGGAUGAGGAUAUGCUAUACAUAUAUAAUGGAAUAGUCAGCCAUAAAAAAGAAUGAGAUCUUGCCAUGUGCAACAACAUGGGUGGACCUACAGGAUGUUAGGCUAAGGCUAAGUAAAAUCAGGCAAAGAAAAACAAAUACCACAUGAUUUCACUUACAAGUUGUAUAUAAAAAGAAAACAAACAAACAAAAGACCUUUAAAAACAAAGAACAAAUGUUGACACAGAGGAGGUGGGUGGGGGGAUGGGUGAGAUAAAGGGGAUUAAUAGCAUAAAGUAUACAGAAGCAGUAUCACUAUGUUGUACAGCUGAAACUAAUGUAACAUUGCAUAUCAACUAUAUUCAAAUUUAAAAAAGAUUUAAAAUUCUUUUGACAUUUAAAAAGAUUUAUUUAUUUUGAGAGAGAAUGCAAAUGCGAGGCAGGAGGCGGGGCAGAGAGAAAAGGGGACAGAGAAUCCAAAAUGGAUUCUGUGCUAAAAGCAGACAGCCCGACAGAAGGCUUGAACUCACGAACCGUGAGAUCAUGGCCUGACCUGAAGUUGGACACUUAACUGACUGAGCCACCCAGGUGCCUCUAAAUUCAAUAGGAAAAAAAAAAAAAGAGACUGAUACAAACUUCCAGUUAUAAAACAAGUAAGUCAUGGAUAUCAGUAGUAUAGCAUAGGAAAUAUAGUCAAUAAUACUGUAAUAACGUUGUAUGGUGACAGAUGGUGACUACAUUUAUGGUGGCAAGUACUGAGCAAUGUAUAGCAUUGUCCAACCAAUACGGUAUAUGACUGAAAUUAAUGUAACACUGUAUGUUAAUUAUACUUCAAUAAAAACAAAACAAAAAACAAACAAAAAUUCUAACAACAAAAAGUAAGCCUCAAAUCAAAAGACACACACAUAUACAAAAUGGCUGUCAGUGUAUUUAAAAAGCACUUAACCUCAUUCAUAAUUAAAGAAGUACAAAUAAAAACUAGACAUGCCAUCUUCAUCUAGGGAAAAAAAAAAUUUUUUAAGAUUGGUUAUCUACUUUUUAUGAUAGGGAGCCCAAGUAUGCUUCCACACUCCUAAUUGGUAGAAGUCUAAGUUGAUGUAUCCUUUUGAAGACAGGUAUUCCUUUUGAUCAAAGAAUUCUACUGUUAGGAAUUUUUCUUUCAAAUAUACUGGCAAUGAGAUUGCAAGAGUAUAUGUACAAGAUGUUCACUGUAACAUAAUUUUUAACAAUAAAACACCUGGGAAUAAAUGGUCCAGAAUAGGGAACUGGCUGUGUAAAAUUAAAAUACAGGAAUACAAUGGAAUACUAUUCUAAAACAGAGGAAUAAGGCAAAUCUUUAUGUACUGAAAUGUCACAAGGUAAAAUGUUAAGUCAAAGAAAGGAAGUCAUAGUCUGUAGAGUAUAAUUCCAUGGAGAAAAAAGGAAAAAAGAUAGUCAUAGAUGGUUAGAAAAUGUGUAAUUAAAAAUUUCUAGAGAAUUUCCAAGAAUAAGUACCUCAGGGGAUAGAGGUAAGGUGUGAGGAGAAGAGAUAAUUUAGAGGACUCUACUUUCUGUACAUAUACUCUUUAUUGUCUGAAUCCUCACCAGAGUAUGUUUCCUUUCUUUAUUUUAAUUUUUUAUCAGUCUUGUGAUGCUGUGAAAUACCUAUUAAAUUACAAGCUUACUGAAAUUUAAAUAUGUGAUAACUAGAAGAAAUAAAUUUAUUUCCAAAACUUAUUUAAUAGAUAAAGAACUGGAACAUCAACUUCUACAGCUUAAGGUCAUGCUGUUUAUGAAGUACUUUCAGCAAUUAAAAUGAGGGCGAUUAAAGACCAAGAAAAAUAAUAAAAAGGGCAAAGUAGCUGCAAAGCCCAAGCUUAUAGAAUAUUAUAGUUAUCUUCUUGACAAAAUUAUCUUGGAAAAAAGAUCUAAUUUUUACAGACUAAAAAAAAAUUUUUUGUUUUUAAUGUUUGUUUAUUUUUGAGAGAAAGAGACAGAGUGUGAGUGGAGGAGGGUAGAGAGAGAAGGAGACACAGAAUCCGAAGCAGGCUCCAGGCUCUGAUCUGUCAGCACAGAGCCUGAUGUGGGGCUUGAACUCACAAACUGUGAGAUCAUGACCUGAGACGAAGUCAGACGCUUAACUGACUGAGCCACCCAGGUGCCCCUACAGAUUUUUUUUUUUUUUAACACAGAACCAUGUAAAUUAUUUUUAUAUGUGACUACAUUGAGGCUCAACAAUCAAUUGUACAAGUAGUUUCCUAAAACUUAUCAAGUUAGGACCAGAAAUACCAGGAAAAAAUGUUGAGAAGUGAAAAGCAGAAGAGGGGAUAGAAAAUAGAAUUAGAAGUGGGAGUAAUGUCUGUUAGUAUAAGCAGGAAAAGGGUGACUGUAGAGAAAGUCAAUCCCAUAGUAAUACUAUACCUAACAGCUGGCUGUGUUCCCCUGUGAUGGAGUUCUGACUCGGGUCUGAAAAACAAACAAUUGAAAAGAAAGAAAAAAAUGAAUGACCAAAACAAAUAAUUUCUUAAAAAUCAGCAACAAAAGUCAACCAAGGAAAUAAGCAAAAAAAAAACCCCAAAAACCAAAAACCAAAAGUUUUUUAGUGAUCAAAAUACAUUAAUGAAUGGAUAAUAAAAACAGAAUAAACUAUUUUAAAAAAUAAUCACACAGCUUCUUUGAAAAGUUAACUAACAGAAUUACCAUGAGACCCAGCAAUUCCACUCUUAGGCAUAUACUCAAAAGAACUUAAAACAGGGACUCAAACAGAUAUUUAUAUGACAAUGUGUAUAGGAGCAUUGUUUACAUUAGUCAAAGUGGAAACAACCCAGUGUCCUUCAACAGAUAAAUGGAUAAACAAAAAUGUGGUAUAUCAUACAAUGGGAUAUUAUUCAGCCAUAAAGAGGAAACGAAAUUCGGAUACGUGCUACAACAUGGACAAACCUUGAAAAUAUGCUAAGGGAAAUGAACUAAAAGCAGAAGGACAAAUAUUGUAUAAUUCCAUUUAAAAAGAAAUAACCAGAAAAAAGUAAACUAACAAAACAAUCACAUAAAUUUGACCAAGCAAAAAUAGUUCCGUAAAGUAGAAGGAUGAUUCGGGGCUUACGACAUGGGCUACAUUUUCUCUUUAAUGACAAAGGAACAUAAUGGCCAUAGCAGCUCAAAGUCAAGACAUAAGUAAAGCACUCAUUACUAGAUAUGUCCUGAUUCGACUUCAUGAUAAAAUAACUAAACAGGCUUUUAGAAAUAUGUUUCUUCAGUAAUCUAUAAUAAAACUAGUGGCAAUAAGCCAAGUUCCUAAUGCAAGAGGUAUUGACAAUCACCAUUUAACAACUAACCACUUGCUUAUUUUAAAGGCUUGAAAAGCAUUAAGGGCUAAAUAUGGAAGACUUUGAGCUCCAGUUUCCUCAAAGAUUAAGUGUCUUGAGAUAUGAGGAUUAUAUCUGGCUUCCCUGUGUCUGGGAAACAGAAAUAAUUUUAGAUGAGGGUGUCUGUGAAUUAUGGGGGGAAAGUUAGUAUUUUCUCCAAGUAUGAUGCCAGCAACAAACUACAUAAAAGUACCUGUGAUUUUUGUUAACGAUAAAUAUCUGGUAUUUUCAUAUCACAUUAUAAUUGUUGCAUGUAUCUCAUAAUAUGAUUUAGGUGCAAUACUACUUUGAAAUUAUGGUAGUUAUUAAAUGGCUUCUAGAUCUUUUUCAAUGCAUUGAUAAAAAAGCAC